UACGGGGGGGGUAAGCGUUGUUCGGAAUUACUGGGCGUAAAGGGCUCGUAGGCGGCCAACUAAGUCAGACGUGAAAUCCCUCAGCUUAACUGGGGAACUGCGUCUGAUACUGGAUGGCUUGGAUUCGGGAGAGGAAUGCGGAAUUCCAGGUGUAGCGGUGAAAUGCGUAGAUAUCCGGAGGAACACCGGUGGCGAAGGCGGCUUCCUGGACCGACACUGACGCUGAGGCGCGAAAGCGUGGGGAGCAAACGGG
This 253-nucleotide ribosomal RNA is filed under the name uncultured bacterium. RNAcentral describes it as "partial 16S ribosomal RNA". It matches the Rfam family "Bacterial small subunit ribosomal RNA", at positions 524 to 776 of the family's 1533-position model. The record is from RNAcentral.